RNAcentral lists this transfer RNA (77 nucleotides) under Flavihumibacter rivuli. Its description in RNAcentral is "tRNA-Arg". It matches the Rfam family "tRNA". Rfam says of the family: Transfer RNA (tRNA) molecules are approximately 80 nucleotides in length. Their secondary structure includes four short double-helical elements and three loops (D, anti-codon, and T loops). Further hydrogen bonds mediate the characteristic L-shaped molecular structure. tRNAs have two regions of fundamental functional importance: the anti-codon, which is responsible for specific mRNA codon recognition, and the 3' end, to which the tRNAs corresponding amino acid is attached (by aminoacyl-tRNA synthetases). tRNAs cope with the degeneracy of the genetic code in two manners: having more than one tRNA (with a specific anti-codon) for a particular amino acid; and 'wobble' base-pairing, i.e. permitting non-standard base-pairing at the 3rd anti-codon position. Lineage: Bacteria; Pseudomonadati; Bacteroidota; Chitinophagia; Chitinophagales; Chitinophagaceae. The record is from RNAcentral.
GGUCCGGUAGCUCAGCUGAAUAGAGCAACUGCCUUCUAAGCAGUAGGUCACAGGUUUGAGUCCUGUCCGGAUCACCA